AGACUGGAUCCAUGCAUGUAAUAACCCGAUGAUUGUAGCAUCAGAAUAGAAUUGUUGGGAGCAAGCAUUUCGGGAUCAUGUAGGUGAAAAGGCUGCUCAAUGGUGCCCCGGCCUUGAAAAGUAAUGAUCUGAUUUUGUUGGGCCGAGAAAAAAAACAAGUGUUUGUGCCGAAGAUCUGAUUAUCCAGAGGGUAGCAAGGAACAUGGAAACAACCAAGACCAAGGGCAGGGAAGAGAGGUAGAGGCAAAGGCGGGCCGGUAAUUCAAAAUGGGUUUUGAAAUCGGUGAGACUCAAAAAAUUGUUGAUACGGGGCCGCCUAUGUUUGUGAUAAUCUAUUGGAUCAUGACUGCAUCUUGUAUAUAAACACUCCUUUUUUUUUCCAUGUUAAUGUUGUUUCAAA
Long non-coding RNA from Populus euphratica (Euphrates poplar), 400 nucleotides. RefSeq lists it as uncharacterized. The transcript has 3 exons. The record is from RefSeq and is a predicted model, not a curated record. NCBI's taxonomy places the organism in Eukaryota, Viridiplantae, Streptophyta, Magnoliopsida, Malpighiales, Salicaceae.